RNAcentral lists this long non-coding RNA (423 nucleotides) under Elaeis guineensis (African oil palm). RNAcentral describes it as "long non-coding RNA (EGUI_LNC076249)". The record is from RNAcentral. Lineage: Eukaryota; Viridiplantae; Streptophyta; Magnoliopsida; Arecales; Arecaceae.
GACCCACAUGAAGCUCGCCGACCGACGGAGGAGUCCGACGCCACUCUGCUGGCCACCGACCUGGGGUCGGCCGACUCCACCAACCACCAUACGGUCGCCAGACGUUGUCAGCCCUGACACGGACAUGCGGCACAAUUACCUAGGGGCAUUGUCCCGUCCGGGGCCGGGUCAACCCUGGCGAUUAGACGGCUACACGGCGACAUGACAUUUUCACGGCGGCUCUGACAGUCUACAGUGAGUUGACAGUUCCUCACUUGUCUGCGCCAUUAAUGAUGGCGCCAUACCGUGCUCCACUAUAUAUAUCGGGGAAGGCAAUAGUGCAAGGGGUCGAUCCGCCCGUCUCUCCCACAUAUGCAGGCUCGCUCCUCUCUUUCUCUCCCUCUCUCCUUCUCAGAGCUCUCUGUCUGCAUUUCACUGUUGUCC